AGAAAAUAUUAUUGUUCUCUGUGUGCAGCUGAAGCUCCGUCGAGCGGGGGCCGCUGGGGUUGGCAGCAAGAUUCGAGGGGAGGGAGGGUUUAGAAGCUCCGGGAUUGGGGCUGACGUUUUAUUUUUCCCCACAAGACCUGCAUGUGAUCUACUUGCCAGACUGUGGCUGGCCACGGGUAAAUGGAAUCGUAGAUAAGGGGGGACUACUGCAUCAUCUCAGCAAUGCUGACGUGCUUGGGGCAGAAGAGGGACCACUCCCCACGUCGGGACCCGAACAGUCCAGCUGUGAGCUGACCUCCCUUUCUGGCCAGGACAGAGGGAGUCUCGCUUCUUCUCUUUGUUUCCCGUUGACUCGGAAGGUCGACUCUGAGCAUCUUCCACACUCAAAAUCAGCAUUUCCACCCUGCUGAAGCACCAGGCACUUCUACUGUCUUUGCAACUAAAAAAAAUCUGGGAAUUCUGGAAGAUAUGAUUGAUUUGCAGUUACGGUCUGAUUGAGCCAAGAAUCAUUAGCACAAGCCCUGCUCGUAUUCAACAUGACGUCCAAUUAAUUCAUCCAAGGAUGAUGUACCUGGUGCCUGCGUGGUGCAAAGCUGCUGAGUCAGGUGCUGAGCCGGCUCUCACGUGGCAGGGAUGGGGACCGUCCCAGGGACUUCCUGGGCUGCAGACGGUGAGAGGAGCUUGACCACCAGGUCACAUAUAAAUGACUCUAAUGUGAAGAAGAUUACAAUAAAUGCUACAAAAGAGGUAUGAACCAGGAAUUUCAGUUAUUUCCACCGGAGGGAUGAGAAGCGGGUCCUCAUGGAUUUCCUUCCAAAAUGCCAUCCAAAGGGGUAAAAGUAGGAAAACAAAGGGAUUUGUGUUUUCAAAACCUACGUCCACCGAAAAAAAGCGUGCAUCACCUGCUUUGUAUUCCCUCAACUUAAAAUCAUGAGCCCCAAUCAAGCACCCGCAGACUCACACAUUUUCAGCUGGAAUCGCCGGGCUGGUUGAAACUCUGUAGCAAACACAGAGCAUGCCAGGGGGCAUCUCUGGGCUUCGCUCUGGGCUCAUCAUGACCCGCCUCGCCGGACUGCGGAGCUGGUGAGGUGACAUCCUUCCCAGGGGCCGGGCACCGUGGGAGCUGAUGUCUCGGUGCAGGACAGAGAGAGCCACUGAACGGCCAGACAGGCUUGCUGAGCACAGACGACCUUCCCGCAGCAAUACCCUCGGCGGACACGGGGUGGCAGCAUCGCCCCACAUCUCGGCCCCUGCACCAGCCUCUGCGUCACCCGCAGGUGCUGGGCCACACCCGGCACUCCCCUACCCUGGCUGUGGCCUGACCUUGAAGUGUCCUUGUCUGGCAAGACACCCUCCCCUCCCUUCUCUGCUUCAUGUCCUCUCCCCGAAUGCUGACACCCCCAGCCCCGAGCGGUUUAUCUCAGGGUCUGGAGGGCAAA
This is a long non-coding RNA of Lemur catta (Ring-tailed lemur), 1439 nucleotides long. RefSeq lists it as uncharacterized. NCBI's taxonomy places the organism in Eukaryota, Metazoa, Chordata, Mammalia, Primates, Lemuridae. The record is from RefSeq and is a predicted model, not a curated record. The transcript is spliced from 5 exons.